Molecule: ribosomal RNA, 253 nt
Filed under: uncultured bacterium
Lineage: Bacteria
Description: partial 16S ribosomal RNA
Rfam family: Bacterial small subunit ribosomal RNA
Source: RNAcentral
UACGUAGGGAGCAAGCGUUGUCCGGAAUCAUUGGGCGUAAAGCGCGCGUAGGUGGCCUCAUAAGUCCGCUGUGAAAGUCAAAGGCUCAACCUUUGAAAGCCGGUGGAUACUGUGAGGCUAGAGUACGGAAGAGGCGAGUGGAAUUCCUGGUGUAGCGGUGAAAUGCGCAGAUAUCAGGAGGAACACCCGUGGCGAAGGCGGCUCUCUGGGACGGUACUGACGCUGAGACGCGAAAGCGUGGGGAGCGAACAGG